GAACGCUGGCGGCAGGCUUAACACAUGCAAGUCGAACGCCCCGCAAGGGGAGUGGCCGACGGGUGAGUAACGCGUGGGAACAUACCCUUUUCUACGGAAUAGCUCUGGGAAACUGGAAUUAAUACCGUAUACGCCCUACGGGGGAAAGAUUUAUCGGGGAAGGAUUGGCCCGCGUUGGAUUAGCUAGUUGGUGGGGUAAAGGCCUACCAAGGCGACGAUCCAUAGCUGGUCUGAGAGGAUGAUCAGCCACAUUGGGACUGAGACACGGCCCAAACUCCUACGGGAGGCAGCAGUGGGGAAUAUUGGACAAUGGGCGCAAGCCUGAUCCAGCCAUGCCGCGUGAGUGAUGAAGGCCUUAGGGUUGUAAAGCUCUUUCACCGAUGAAGAUAAUGACGGUAGUCGGAGAAGAAGCCCCGGCUAACUUCGUG
RNAcentral lists this ribosomal RNA (428 nucleotides) under uncultured bacterium. RNAcentral's name for it is "partial 16S ribosomal RNA". It matches the Rfam family "Bacterial small subunit ribosomal RNA", at positions 31 to 507 of the family's 1533-position model. The record is from RNAcentral.